UUAACCCCUGGGAAGUAGGGGCACGUGAGCUACUUUGAGAAUCUGAUGAAAGCUAAGUAUCGCUUCCUAGGAAAGUUUCACUCACAUAAAAUUUUGUGUGCGAUUUCAUAGCUUUCAUGAGCUUGUCAGGUCUCUGCUAAGGUUUCCUCAUAGAUUAACACACCAAUAAAAACCCCAGCUUUUCCCAGACAGAGUCAACCAAUCCUUCCCCAUUUGCUUCUCUGACAGAAGCAAAACACCCCUGUCCCAAAGCCCCAUUCUGUCCAGUCCCAGAACUGACACUCUUAUCUUGACUACCUUAUAGUUUGUGUUACAACAGCCUUGGGAGUGAAGACUACUUACCGGUACCUCUCAGACAAUCAGUCAGGAUUCCUAAUGCCCUGGAAAGGUCCACUUAGAGCAUUUCCAAUCGGAGGAACGAGCUUCUUCAUGUCUGACUGGAAGGCUUGGUUUCUGUGUUCCACAUCCAUAAAGUCAUUUCCCAAGUCCAUUGACUCACACCAAAGAGGAGGAAGCAGCUACCGAAGUGUGUUCAUGACAGACCCGGUGGCAUGGUGCUAGUGGCCUCUCCUGGUCAGUUUUGACCUGGUAGCAGGUAAAUCUGUAACUAUUCAUUCUGGUUUAAAGGGGAGAAUUUCUA
This 640-nucleotide long non-coding RNA is filed under the name Ovis aries (sheep). RNAcentral describes it as "lncRNA (ENSOARG00000026823.1)". The record is from RNAcentral. Lineage: Eukaryota; Metazoa; Chordata; Mammalia; Artiodactyla; Bovidae.